RNAcentral lists this ribosomal RNA (494 nucleotides) under uncultured bacterium. Its description in RNAcentral is "bacterial SSU rRNA". It matches the Rfam family "Bacterial small subunit ribosomal RNA", at positions 28 to 524 of the family's 1533-position model. The record is from RNAcentral.
GAUGAACGCUAGCGGCAGGCCUAAUACAUGCAAGUCGAGGGGUAGUGGAAGCUUGCUUCCAUGAGACCGGCGCACGGGUGCGUAACGCGUAUGCAACCUACCUCUAUCUGGGGGAUAGCCCGGAGAAAUCCGGAUUAACACCGCAUAAAAUCACAGUACGGCAUCGUACAAUGAUCAAAUAUUUAUAGGAUAGGGAUGGGCAUGCGUGUCAUUAGUUAGUUGGCGGGUAACGGCCCACCAAGACCACGAUGACUAGGGGAUCUGAGAGGAUGGCCCCCCACACUGGUACUGAGACACGGACCAGACUCCUACGGGAGGCAGCAGUAAGGAAUAUUGGUCAAUGGAGGCAACUCUGAACCAGCCAUGCCGCGUGCAGGAAGACGGCCCUCUGGGUUGUAAACUGCUUUUAUCGGGAAUAACCUGCUUACGUGUAAGUAGCUGAAUGUACCGAAGGAAUAAGGAUCGGCUAACUCCGUGCCAGCAGCCGCGGUAAU